CAUCUAUGGCAUUCCAUAGGAUUCUGGUUCAUCUCUUGACCAUGGCUGAUACAUGUUGAAAUCUGUUGCUUAUGCUGUACUUCCUGCAGGCUGAAUCAAUACAGAGAUUGAUAACAAGGAGCUUGAGAAAUUUGUAUUUAUCAUCUGAAACAAAUGCUGAAAUAUGCUGAAUAACUGGAAGAUUGCUGUGUGCUACAAAUCCCCUUUUUCCUCAUUGCUGUGGCUGUUGCCGUUCUUUUCAGAAUAUCAAUAAGUUCCAAUUGAAGAGCGGAUUCUUUUGCAAUUCAGGCAUGUGCCGGCGAUAACGGGCGAGUUGGCAUGAAGAGAGGCAGAGAUGGAUUAAUUAUGCAGAGAACAUGGAAAUUCUGCUUAUCAUCGGCUAGCAAAGGAGCCCAGCUCACAUAAUCAGCAAACGAAGGGAGAGAAAAAAAUAACAAUGCAAUGGCACCUUCC
Molecule: long non-coding RNA, 453 nt
Organism: Vidua chalybeata
Lineage: Eukaryota; Metazoa; Chordata; Aves; Passeriformes; Viduidae
Exons: 3
Source: RefSeq, a predicted model, not a curated record